UACGUAGGGUGCGAGCGUUAAUCGGAAUUACUGGGCGUAAAGCGUGCGCAGGCGGUCUAUUAAGACAGGUGUGAAAUCCCCGGGCUUAACCUGGGAACUGCGCUUGUAACUGAUAGGCUUGAGUGUGGCAGAGGGGGGUGGAAUUCCAGGUGUAGCAGUGAAAUGCGUAGAUAUCUGGAGGAACACCGAUGGCGAAGGCAGCCCCCUGGGCUAACACUGACGCUCAUGCACGAAAGCGUGGGGAGCAAACAGG
This 253-nucleotide ribosomal RNA is filed under the name uncultured bacterium. RNAcentral's name for it is "partial 16S ribosomal RNA". It matches the Rfam family "Bacterial small subunit ribosomal RNA", at positions 524 to 776 of the family's 1533-position model. The record is from RNAcentral.